Molecule: ribosomal RNA, 495 nt
Filed under: uncultured bacterium
Lineage: Bacteria
Description: partial 16S ribosomal RNA
Rfam family: Bacterial small subunit ribosomal RNA
Source: RNAcentral
GACGAACGCUGGCGGCGUGCCUAAUACAUGCAAGUAGAACGCUGAAGGAGGAGCUUGCUUCUCUGGAUGAGUUGCGAACGGGUGAGUAACGCGUAGGUAACCUGCCUGGUAGCGGGGGAUAACUAUUGGAAACGAUAGCUAAUACCGCAUAAUAGUAGAUGUUGCAUGACAUUUGCUUAAAAGGUGCAAUUGCAUCACUACCAGAUGGACCUGCGUUGUAUUAGCUAGUUGGUGGGGUAACGGCUCACCAAGGCGACGAUACAUAGCCGACCUGAGAGGGGGGUCGGCCACACUGGGACUGAGACACGGCCCAGACUCCUACGGGAGGCAGCAGUAGGGAAUCUUCGGCAAUAGACGGAAGUCUGACCGAGCAACGCCGCGUGAGUGAAGAAGGUUUUCGGAUCGUAAAGCUCUGUUGUAAGAGAAGAACGAGUGUGAGAGUGGAAAGUUCACACUGUGACGGUAUCUUACCAGAAAGGGACGGCUAACUACGUG